AGUCACAAAGGCAAAGAAAAUGAGGAACAGAAUAAUCAAGAAUGACAUUAAGAAGCUUCAAAAGGCAGGUCUCUUGAAACCUUCUCCCCCAAAAGUACCUGCUGCUAUAGUUCCAGCAAAAAAGAUGACUUCUUGCAGGCAAGAAGGCUCCAGCCCAGAAGGUUCCUGCCCAGAAAGCCACAGGCUAGAGGCAGUGCCUCCUCUGAAAGCUCAGAAGUUUCAAAAGCAACGUGCCCAGAAAGCAUGUUGUCCAAAAGCAUCUGGCAAGAAAGCG
RNAcentral lists this long non-coding RNA (274 nucleotides) under Homo sapiens (human). Its description in RNAcentral is "non-protein coding lnc-SEC63-1:1". The record is from RNAcentral. Lineage: Eukaryota; Metazoa; Chordata; Mammalia; Primates; Hominidae.